ACACGCAACAAAGGGGUGAGGCCAUAUUGCUGCAUUACAGUUAGCUACAUAAAUUCAUCAACUAACCGUUCAGAAACGUCCUGUUGCAUUCAAAAUGUUGUCACUUCUUCUUGAGUGUCUCCAUUAUUGUCCGACUCCGUUUUGAACAUAAAAGGCUGAACAGUUUCUGACAUUUUCAGUGAGUCUGCAUGAGGUAAUGUGAGGCGCUGCUAAGUGCUAUGCUAAUAACUAUGAUAACUACGGUAACUAUGAUAACUAUGCUAAGCUAUGCUAAAAGUGGUUCCGCCAGACCCGGAGAUCGGCUGAAUGGAUUUGAAAAAGGGACUGAGCUGGAAAAUGAAGUCCUGUCAACCCCUAAUGAUGAAGAGGUUUGCUCCACUGCUGACAGCGAGAGACAAGUGUCAGCGCAGGUUGUAGACCUUAACGACCCCAGUAAUUGGACUGUGCAUCUAGAUGCCAAGACAGUGGAUUUACUCAUGGAAAAAGGUCCUGUCGUGGUGUGCAGCUUUUUAUUUUCCCCUCGAAUCAAGAAGAAAAUACACUUUUCCGAUGACUUCUAUGAAAGAAAUUUGCCCAAUAGGGUUAAAGCUCAUAGAGAUUGGCUUGUCUAUCAAAGAAAACAGAUUCUAUAUUUUGCUUGUCUUGUAAACUGUGCAACAACUGCACAAGUCGGCCUCGGGCCAAACUUGGUAAUGAGGGCAAUAAUGAUUGGAGACAUUUGGCAGCUGUGCUGAAACAUCACAAAACAUACUGUGAUCAUAUAAGUGCUGCAACAUGGAUGAACUCUUCAUAAAGCUUUGCAUUUCGAGGAAUAAAUGCAAAGCUUUAUGAAGAGAACAAUGUUAACUUUUGGGAGUUAAUAGAGAUGCUUGCCAAAUUUGAUUCCACUAUGCAAGAACAUGUCAGGUGAAUAAGAAAUAAAGAAACUCAUGUACAUUAUCCAGUCUCAGAUUCAAAAUGAGAUCAUUUUUAUUAUGGCCACAAAUGUCAAAAAAACAUUAUUGUAAAUGACACAAAGAGAGCAAAAUAUUUUCCUGUGCUUCUUGAUUGCACACCAGAUAUGAUCCACCAAAAGUAAAUGUUUUGUCAAUAUAACAGCAUUAGAAGUGAAUGUAGAGGAAAACUUCAUUGAUUUCAAUUUCAUAAAGGAAAAAACUGGAAAGGAACUAUCAAAUGCAGUCCUGACCAAAAUAGAGGCCCUUGGACUGAACAUCACUGACUGUUGGGGCCAAGGAUUCAAUAACGUAAAAAACAUGAAAGGGCAAAAUCAGGGAAUCUAAGCCCAUAAAUAUUGUAUAAAUAUUUAUACAGUAUUUGCAGGCUCUCCAAAUUGGUGGGAAAUUGUUGAAGUUGACCUGCAAGUGCACAAGACUGUAUGAGCACGUCCGAAUCUCAGGAUAUAAAAACAGUGGACGAGUUGAGGAUACUUAGAGUGAUAAUUCCAAAGGGAUCAACUACAGCACUUCAAUUUUCCCACAGAAAUGUUUAAAAUAUUCAACUUUUUCAAAAGGUAUUCAACCUAUGGUUGCAGUAUAUCUAGACUCUAGAUCUAAAUCUAGAGUAGCUGUAUGCAUGUGACUCUGACUUACACUAUAUGUGUAAUGACCCAUCUGAAAAAUAUGAAAUAUAGCCUACAGACCUGAAUUACUGAAUUGUAAAAUAGUAACAAAGUCGCUAACACUCUGCUGAUUCCAUAGCUGAAGAUUUUCAAACUUCCACUGGCAUUAAUAUCAUCACAGAAACUGUGUGGCGAGAGCUUCAAGGAAUGGGUUUCCAUAGCCAAGUAGCCGCAUACAAUCCUCACAUCACCAAGUACAAUGCUAAGCGUCAGAUGGAGUGUUACAAAGCACACCGCCACUGGCAGUGGAACGCUGAUAAAAUAGUACUAUUUGUUAUGGAAAAUGCAAUUAAUGUUAGUGGGGACAUCGUUGCUAAUUUAUUAUCUAUGCCGUUUAAAGAAAAGCUGAAGUUAAUUGGCAAAGGAAGACCUGAACCAGAGCAUAAUUUAGUGCAGAAAGCCAAAGCUUUUGCAAGCAUUUCAACCCCAGAAAUUAUAAGUGAUAGCCCUGGAUGACAACAUCAACCAAGAAGCUAAAGCUGCCACUGUUUUAUAUGUUAAGCUUUAUUUGAGAAAACAGUCAUUUUGCAAAAUUACUGGUCAAAUUUAUACAAAAUUAAUACUGUAAAUUUACCAACUCAGCAACCAUUCUGCACAUUUGCUGUAAUUCUGCAUAAUAGUUCAAAUUUUCCCCAAAUCGUAAGUUUAUCACAGUCUGAUACAUACAUUUAAUUGGUUACUGUGCUAGUCUAAUGAUAUUAUUUAUUAUCAACAUUACCGUUUGUGGUGGUGGAUUCCAAAAUGCCACAAUUGCAGUUCGCUGUCUAUAAUGCGUAAGUGUCUGUCGCUAAUUUUCUUUGGUCUGAGUGCUGUCAUGAUGUGUCACUUUACAUUAAAUGUUGUUGGUUUAUCCCCCUAUAGGCAUUAUAGGGAACCUUAGUAUAAAUCAUCAUAAUUAUCAAGAUGGUUAUGUGUAUAGAAUGAACAGUAACACACUAGUGUUGCAAGUGUGCAAAAUUAUACUCUCGUAGUAAGCACAUAGUAUUCACACAAACAGUAAUGAAGCUCCAUUAGUAAGCUUAACCCCCACUGAGGAAUUAAAGAGCUUAGGGGAUCAGCCUUCUUCCCGUGCAAUCUUCACAGCAGGUUACUGAUUGAGGAGGGGGCAGAAGAUGAUGUCAGGCAAUUUUGUCAGGCAAUUAAAGGCUUUGAAACCAGUUGUUAAAAAUAUGUUUUUCAGUGAGGAGUUUAGAUUCACAGAUGUGGUGAGAACAGGCCGUAAAUAGAUUGUCAAUUGAGCAGGGCAGAGUGAGAGUAGAAAUAGAGUAAAGUAGGGUAGAGUAUGUCGAUGUAUGGUCUACAAAUCACAAGAGCUAUCUGGGAGUCAUUGUCCAUUGGAUAGAUUCAGACACACUUACCAUCUCUUCAGGGGCUUUAGCUUGCUGAAGGAUCAAGGGAAGGCACACUUACGACAAUCUGGCAGAGGUGCUUGAAAGUGUCCACAUGGAUUUCAGCAUUCAAAACAAAGUUGUGUUAACCGCUACAGACAAUGGUUCAAAUUUUGUAAAAGCAUUUAGUGUGUUCACAGCUGAAGAAAAGUGACUGAAGAUGAUGAAGAAAAUGAUGAAGAGGCAGAUAUUGAGUUUACUGAUGUUGCAGCAUUUCUAAAAGAGACCGAAAAGGAUGACUACCACUUGCCAGCCCAUCAACGCUGUGCCUGCCAUUCUCUCCACUUGCUUGCAACCAAAGAUGCUGAGGCAGCAGUGGAAGACUGUUCAUUUAAAAAGAUUUCAAGGGCAGCUUUCACCAAAUGUCAAAGCCUUUGGAAUAAACAGAGUAGAAGCACCCAAGCUUCUGACACCAUUAAAGACAAACUUGGAUGCAUCCUGGUUGUGCCUAGUGUAACUCAGUGGAAUUCUACAUAUAAUGCAAUGGAUCAUCUGAAAACAUGCAUUGAAGCGAAAUCUCAAGCUCCAUGAUGUUUGUGAGAAAAUGGAAAUUCCAUGACUAAAGCCAUCAGAGAUGACAUUCAUCAAAGAAUAUGUCAUGGUCAUUGCACCAGUGUCCAAGGCCCUAGAUGUUCUCCAGUUGGACAAAAUGGCAUACUUUGGAGUCUUGGUUGACAUUCUUGUUGAGUAGCUGCAAGAAAACCUCCAGUAUUGUCUGCCAUUAGUUCAUGCCAUCAUCAGUGGUGUAAACAGAAGGUUCAGUUACCUUUCCGGUAAAAUAUAUCUCAUGGCAACUGCUUCACAUCCUAUGUUUCAUAUGUUUUACAUACCAAAUGCGCAAAAAGAUGACAUCAUCUUAAGACUAAAACAGGAGCUUUCAGCAGCACACAGUCCACAUGUUGCAGAGACAAUUGUUUCAAGGAAGCCAGAAAAUGAAAGUGAUGAGAGCACAGACUACUUCUCCAGAAACCAGGAGCAUGUUUUGGAUGAAGUGGCAUUUGCUACAGUCUACAGCAACCACACCUGAUAGUGCUUUCCAGCAGCUAUCAAAAAUGAAGAGAGUCUUCAUUAACUGCAAUACUGGUGUCCCUGCCAGUGCCGCAUAUGAGCAGUUGUUUAGUGUUGGAAAAGACAUUUUCCUGCCAAAACACAACCGUCUUCCCGCCAGUCAUUUUGAGAAACUUCUCUUGUGUCGAAUUAACAGGCACUUCUGCUUCAGUUUAGAUCAGAGUACAAAUUGAGUUGCCUACAUUUUGUUCUUGCCUGCUCUUAUUAGAAGGACACUGCACCUCAAUCCUGGACUGGUGGUGUGAAACCUUCCCUGUUUUGCUUGAGGUAUAACAGUGACUAUAACUUUGCCAGUUCAACUAAAAUACUUAAAAUUUUCCAAGCGUCCUCACUCUUCAGAUUUGCGGCUUUUGUAACAUGACAAAUUAUAACAUUUUGACCCUUUGGAGGUCAACAUUUUGAAUGAAGUAGACAGGUUUCUACAGUCUACUGCAACUACACCAGAUAGUGCUUUCCCUGCCAGUGCCACAUGUGAGCGGUUGUUCAAUAUAUUUUCUUGCCAAAAUGCAACCAUCUCUCAAUCAGUAUUUUUAAAAAAAUGUUUCUGUGUAUGCAAUU
Molecule: long non-coding RNA, 4632 nt
Organism: Ctenopharyngodon idella (grass carp)
Lineage: Eukaryota; Metazoa; Chordata; Actinopteri; Cypriniformes; Xenocyprididae
Exons: 3
Source: RefSeq, a predicted model, not a curated record